GACGAACGCUGGCGGCGUGCUUAACACAUGCAAGUCGAACGGACAGGCCCUGCUCUUGUGGGGUGCUCGAGUGGCGAACGGGUGUGUAAAACGCGAGUAACAUGCCCUUGUCUUUGGGAUAACUCUUGGAAAAUGGGGCUCAUACCGGAUAGGAGAUCCCGCUGCAUGGGGGGGGUUGGAAAGAUUCGGCGGUUGGGGAUGGAUUAGCGGGUUAUGCGCCUGUUUGUGGAGUAGUGGCUUACCAAGGGUUUGACGGGUAGCCGACCUUAGAGGGGGAACGGCGACCUGGGGACUGAGAGAGGGACCAGACGCCAACGGGAGGCAGCAGUGGAAAGUAUUGCACAAUGGGCGGGAGCCUGAUGCAGCAGCGCCGCGAGCGGGAUGACGUCCUUCGAGGUGUAAACCGCUUUCGCCUGUAACGAAGCCUGAGUGACGGUAAUGAGUAAAAAAGCACCGGCUAACUACGUG
RNAcentral lists this ribosomal RNA (468 nucleotides) under uncultured bacterium. RNAcentral describes it as "partial 16S ribosomal RNA". It matches the Rfam family "Bacterial small subunit ribosomal RNA", at positions 28 to 507 of the family's 1533-position model. The record is from RNAcentral.